GACGAACGCUGGCGGCGUGCUUAACACAUGCAAGUCGAACGGAAAGGCCCUGCUUUUGUGGGGUGCUCGAUUGGCGAACGGGUGAGUAACACGUGAGUAACCUGCCCUUGACUUUGGGAUAACUUCAGGAAACUGGGGCUAAUACCGGAUAGGAGCUCCUGCUGCAUGGUGGGGGUUGGAAAGUUUCGGCGGUUGGGGAUGGACUCGCGGCUUAUCAGCUUGUUGGUGGGGUAGUGACUUACCAAGGCUUUGACGGGUAGCCGGCCUGAGAGGGUGACCGGCCACAUUGGGACUGAGAUACGGCCCAGACUCCUACGGGAGGCAGCAGUGGGGAAUAUUGCACAAUGGGCGGAAGCCUGAUGCAGCAACGCCGCGUGCGGGAUGACGGCCUUCGGGUUGUAAACCGCUUUCGCCUGUGACGAAGCGUGAGUGACGGUAAUGGGUAAAGAAGCACCGGCUAACUACGUG
RNAcentral lists this ribosomal RNA (468 nucleotides) under uncultured bacterium. RNAcentral describes it as "partial 16S ribosomal RNA". It matches the Rfam family "Bacterial small subunit ribosomal RNA", at positions 28 to 507 of the family's 1533-position model. The record is from RNAcentral.